Molecule: transfer RNA, 66 nt
Filed under: Leptophryne borbonica (Java tree toad)
Lineage: Eukaryota; Metazoa; Chordata; Amphibia; Anura; Bufonidae
Description: tRNA-Cys
Source: RNAcentral
AAGCCCCGGGGUGUUACACGCCGGGUUGCAAACCCGGAAAGGCAGAAGAAGUUCUGCCGGGGCUUC